This 486-nucleotide long non-coding RNA is filed under the name Nicotiana benthamiana. RNAcentral's name for it is "long non-coding RNA (NBEN_LNC005133)". The record is from RNAcentral. Lineage: Eukaryota; Viridiplantae; Streptophyta; Magnoliopsida; Solanales; Solanaceae.
GGAAAACAUGGCAUGGAUGUAUCAGGUACAACAUCUGCUACCCCCAUUGUCUUCCCAGUGACACUCUUUCUAGAUUUUAGAUGUUCAGUUAGCUGGAGUUAUUAAAUGAAAAAAGAUCUUUUAUUGUUGUUGCAGAGUUUGCAUAUUUAACUAAUAAACUAGUCCUCACAUAAUACCCCUUAUCAAUGAGUACAUAAUUUCAGAAGAAUUAUAUAUAGCAAUUAAACAAUGUGUUUGAGUUUAUACACAUUGUGUUUCAUUUCACACAAAAGAGGGAGGUGGUGUUUAAUAAGUUUUAUCUCUUUCAAGUCACCAAUCACCAUGCAUCCCAACCUUGUUAAAUUUAUUAAUGUAUGAAAGUAGAAUGCUUAAAUGAAACCUUAAUAAUCUAUUGCACGAAAUCUGAAUAAGAGUAAGAUUAAAAUAAAAUAUGGAAAGAAUUGCAAUACUUUUAUUGAAUAACUAACCAAAAAAUAGGGAAAAAUA